CAUGAAAAUAUGACGCUGGCGGCAGGCUUAACACAUGCAAGUCGGGCGGAAACGAUGGUAGCUUGCUACCAGGCGUCGAGCGGCGGACGGGUGAGUAAUGCUUAGGAAUCUGCCUGGUAGUGGGGGAUAGCCCGGGGAAACUCGGAUUAAUACCGCAUACGCCCUACGGGGGAAAGCAGGGGAUCUUCGGACCUUGCGCUAUCAGAUGAGCCUAAGUCGGAUUAGCUGGUUGGUGGGGUAAUGGCCUACCAAGGCGACGAUCCGUAGCUGGUCUGAGAGGAUGAUCAGCCACAUCGGGACUGAGACACGGCCCGAACUCCUACGGGAGGCAGCAGUGGGGAAUAUUGGACAAUGGGCGCAAGCCUGAUCCAGCCAUGCCGCGUGUGUGAAGAAGGCUUUCGGGUUGUAAAGCACUUUCAGCGAGGAGGAAGGCCUUAAGACUAAUACUCUUGAGGAUUGACGUCACUCGCAGAAGAAGCACCGGCUAACUCCGUGCCAGCAGCCGCGGUAAUACGGAGGGUGCAAGCGUUAAUCGGAAUUACUGGGCGUAAAGCGCGCGUAGGUGGUUAUGUAAGCGAGAUGUGAAAGCCCCGGGCUC
RNAcentral lists this ribosomal RNA (598 nucleotides) under Marinobacter sp. CAL623. RNAcentral's name for it is "bacterial SSU rRNA". It matches the Rfam family "Bacterial small subunit ribosomal RNA", at positions 21 to 610 of the family's 1533-position model. Lineage: Bacteria; Pseudomonadati; Pseudomonadota; Gammaproteobacteria; Pseudomonadales; Marinobacteraceae. The record is from RNAcentral.